GCAGUCGAGCGGUAGCACAGAGAGCUUGCUCUCGGGUGACGAGCGGCGGACGGGUGAGUAAUGUCUGGGAAACUGCCUGAUGGAGGGGGAUAACUACUGGAAACGGUAGCUAAUACCGCAUAACGUCGCAAGACCAAAGUGGGGGACCUUCGGGCCUCAUGCCAUCAGAUGUGCCCAGAUGGGAUUAGCUAGUAGGUGGGGUAACGGCUCACCUAGGCGACGAUCCCUAGCUGGUCUGAGAGGAUGACCAGCCACACUGGAACUGAGACACGGUCCAGACUCCUACGGGAGGCAGCAGUGGGGAAUAUUGCACAAUGGGCGCAAGCCUGAUGCAGCCAUGCCGCGUGUGUGAAGAAGGCCUUCGGGUUGUAAAGCACUUUCAGCGGGGAGGAAGGCGUUAAGGUUAAUAACCUUGUCGAUUGACGUUACCCGCAGAAGAAGCACCGGCUAACUCCGUGCCAGCAGCCGCGGUAAUACGGAGGGUGCAAGCGUUAAUCGGAAUUACUGGGCGUAAAGCGCACGCAGGCGGUCUGUCAAGUCGGAUGUGAAAUCCCCGGGCUCAACCUGGGAACUGCAUUCGAAACUGGCAGGCUAGAGUCUUGUAGAGGGGGGUAGAAUUCCAGGUGUAGCGGUGAAAUGCGUAGAGAUCUGGAGGAAUACCGGUGGCGAAGGCGGCCCCCUGGACAAAGACUGACGCUCAGGUGCGAAAGCGUGGGGAGCAAACAGGAUUAGAUACCCUGGUAGUCCACGCCGUAAACGAUGUCGAUUUGGAGGUUGUGCCCUUGAGGCGUGGCUUCCGGAGCUAACGCGUUAAAUCGACCGCCUGGGGAGUACGGCCGCAAGGUUAAAACUCAAAUGAAUUGACGGGGGCCCGCACAAGCGGUGGAGCAUGUGGUUUAAUUCGAUGCAACGCGAAGAACCUUACCUGGUCUUGACAUCCACAGAACUUUCCAGAGAUGGAUUGGUGCCUUCGGGAACUGUGAGACAGGUGCUGCAUGGCUGUCGUCAGCUCGUGUUGUGAAAUGUUGGGUUAAGUCCCGCAACGAGCGCAACCCUUAUCCUUUGUUGCCAGCGGUCCGGCCGGGAACUCAAAGGAGACUGCCAGUGAUAAACUGGAGGAAGGUGGGGAUGACGUCAAGUCAUCAUGGCCCUUACGACCAGGGCUACACACGUGCUACAAUGGCAUAUACAAAGAGAAGCGACCUCGCGAGAGCAAGCGGACCUCAUAAAGUAUGUCGUAGUCCGGAUUGGAGUCUGCAACUCGACUCCAUGAAGUCGGAAUCGCUAGUAAUCGUAGAUCAGAAUGCUACGGUGAAUACGUUCCCGGGCCUUGUACACACCGCCCGUCACACCAUGGGAGUGGGUUGCAAAAGAAGUAGGUAGCUUAACCUUCGGGAG
RNAcentral lists this ribosomal RNA (1398 nucleotides) under Klebsiella sp. Its description in RNAcentral is "bacterial SSU rRNA". It matches the Rfam family "Bacterial small subunit ribosomal RNA". The record is from RNAcentral. Lineage: Bacteria; Pseudomonadati; Pseudomonadota; Gammaproteobacteria; Enterobacterales; Enterobacteriaceae.